AGGGCGAACGCUGGCGGCGUGCUUAACACAUGCAAGUCGAGCGGAAAGGCCCUUCGGGGUACUCGAGCGGCGAACGGGUGAGUAACACGUGAGUAAUCUGCCCCUAGCUCUGGGAUAGCUCCGGGAAACCGGGAUUAAUACCGGAUACGACCACCUUAGACAUCUUUUGUGGUGGAAAGAAUUUCGGCUAGGGAUGAGCUCGCGGCCUAUCAGCUUGUUGGUGGGGUAACGGCCUACCAAGGCGACGACGGGUA
RNAcentral lists this ribosomal RNA (254 nucleotides) under uncultured bacterium. RNAcentral's name for it is "partial small subunit ribosomal RNA". It matches the Rfam family "Bacterial small subunit ribosomal RNA", at positions 26 to 285 of the family's 1533-position model. The record is from RNAcentral.